This 208-nucleotide ribosomal RNA is filed under the name uncultured bacterium. Its description in RNAcentral is "partial 16S ribosomal RNA". It matches the Rfam family "Bacterial small subunit ribosomal RNA", at positions 567 to 773 of the family's 1533-position model. The record is from RNAcentral.
UUGCGUAGGUGGUUUAAUAAGCGAAUAGUGAAAUCUGGUGGCUCAACCAUUCAGACUAUUAUUCGAACUGUUGAACUCGAGAGCAGAAGAGGUAGCUGGAAUUUCUAGUGUAGGAGUGAAAUCCGUAGAUAUUAGAAGGAACACCGAUGGCGUAGGCAGGCUACUGGGCUGUUUCUGACACUGAGGCACGAAAGCGUGGGGAGCAACC